GACGAACGCUGGCGGCGUGCUUAACACAUGCAAGUCGAACGGAAAGGCCCUGCUUUUGUGGGGUGCUCGAGUGGCGAACGGGUGAGUAACACGUGAGUAACCUGCCCUUGACUUUGGGAUAACUUCAGGAAACUGGGGCUAAUACCGGAUAGGAGCUCCUGCUGCAUGGUGGGGGUUGGAAAGUUUCGGCGGUUGGGGAUGGACUCGCGGCUUAUCAGCUUGUUGGUGGGGUAGUGGCUUACCAAGGCUUUGACGGGUAGCCGGCCUGAGAGGGUGACCGGCGACAUUGGGACUGAGAUACGGACCAGACUGCUACGGGAGGCAGCAGUGGGGAAUAUUGCACAAUGGGCGGAAGCCUGAUGCAGCAGCGCCGCGUGCGGGAUGAAGGCCUUCGGGUUGGAAACCGCUUUCGCCUGUGACGAAGCGUGAGUGACGGUAAUGGGUAAAGAAGCACCGGCUAACUACGUG
RNAcentral lists this ribosomal RNA (468 nucleotides) under uncultured bacterium. Its description in RNAcentral is "partial 16S ribosomal RNA". It matches the Rfam family "Bacterial small subunit ribosomal RNA", at positions 28 to 507 of the family's 1533-position model. The record is from RNAcentral.